The sequence is a regulatory RNA element, 23 nucleotides long. It matches the Rfam family "turnip yellow mosaic virus upstream pseudo-knot (TYMV_upPK)". The record is from Rfam.
UAAGUUCUCGAUCUUUAAAAUCG